Molecule: long non-coding RNA, 2554 nt
Organism: Tyto alba (common barn owl)
Lineage: Eukaryota; Metazoa; Chordata; Aves; Strigiformes; Tytonidae
Exons: 3
Source: RefSeq, a predicted model, not a curated record
GGGGAGUGACAGAGCGGCUUCAGCGGGCACCAGGGGUCCAGCUGGGGUCAACCCACCACAACUGCUACAGAAGUCGUUAGAGAGAAAGAAACCACAAAACCUGAAGUAAAAGGAGCUCGUGAAACCAGGUCUGCUCAAGGCUGCCUUCGCCCUGAGCUGGGGCAGAAUGUGCUCCUGCAACGCCGCUUCAACACUUACCGCUGUGGUUAGCCACGCUGAAGGAGUGCCCGGGAUCGACGCACGGCUACCGUUUCCAUCCGCGGCUCGGCUCGGUCCUCGUCAACUCACCCGGUGGCACGGGAACCGGCGCUGCUAUAUUUUUGGAGCAUCCUGACCUGCUUCAUUUCAGUCAUUUCUCUUCUCCAUCUGCUUUGUAUUCCUUCAUUUCUCCUUGGAAGGUUUUGCAAACUCAGAUGCAAUUUGAUGUAUAUUUGUAGGAGCGCAGUUAACAGAUCUCCUUAUCAGACACCAGUUUCAGUGACUUAAUGAUGCUACUGAUAAAAGGGUGAGUACAGACUGGCCAAAUCUCACUGGUUUCAACCAUCUUCCAAAAGAAAUUUUUCAUUAUGAAACAUUGUGGAAAUUGCUUACGCCAAUCCCAUGGAAAGAAGUGGAAUAACCCACUGGCAAAUUCUUCCUAUCUGAGUCUAUUUGCUCAAAAAUUGACCUGUUAAACAAGAAGAUGUCAGGCUGACACAGGCAGGUCUCUCUGCCGAGCCAGUGCCAUGAGAUACGCUCCUUUUCGAGGAAGAUGGUGAUUUCUCCCAGGUUUGGGGCUCUCCUUGGGGUCUACCAGUGCUGCACCGAUGUCCGGCAGAGGAAUCAUCUCUCCAUGAAAUCGCACCACAUCAAGAAACUGGAGGCCCCUCCAGGAGUCCUAAUUCCCUAAAAUUUCCUGAGGAUGUUGAAGCUCUGGAGCAGUGUGGAGUUGGCUAUGAGCAGCCUCUGCAAGAGGAGGCGCAGCCCUCCGUGGAUGUUUGAGCACCCGGCGGGUUUAUCAAUACAAAACCCAGCUCAGAGAGAGGGGGAUGAGGAUGAUGGUUAAUCUGUUUGGGGAUCAACGGAGGUUGCUGGCACCUGAGGGGAGGAGCAGCACGUGUUGGGCUCUGCUGUGUCAGGGGUGACCGGAGUGCUUGCAGCAAGUGAUAAAAUUGGGUAGUUUCUCCCAAGUUUGAUGCAAUAGGUGGCAAACAGAGAAAGAAAUGGGAAUGACAGGAUGAGAGAUCACAUAUGCUCAGGGAAAGGGACAUAGCAGGAAAGGUGAUAAAUUGGUGAAAAAAAAGUAAACCAACCCAAAAGUCUCUCCGCUGAGAGAGAGGAGGACUGUCCCUGGGAAGUUACAACUCACUCCCAAGCGGAGCGUUUGUCUCCAAGCAUCGCUGGUUUCUCAGUGUCCAAAAAGUUUCUUGGUUUUGUGAGUCUUUUGUAAGGAUGGGUGCAGAAGAAACUAGUGAUCCUGCCUCCCCCACACCCCAAACCACCCUAAAGUCCAGUGAAUAAAAUUCCUGAUGUGAAACUCUGCCUGGGCUGGCUUUUAAGAGGAGACAGUGGAUUUUGGCAUAAUCAUCAAAUUAUUAUAAUAUCAUAAUAUUAUGUUAUAUAAAAUAUAGUUAUUAUAGAUUGAGCUCUGAAUGCAAGAGCCAGGCUCACCCUUGGUUGUGCUCUUCUGCAUCCCUCUGCACCCAAGCCAAGCUCCGUACAGGCUGCAAGAGCCUGGGCUGGAGGCAGCUGUGCCCUGCUCUGUAUCCUCUGCACCACACAAAUCCCAUUCCCGAGGAUGUGAUGCCUUGGGUACCCACGUCCCGCUGGCCAUUUGCAUUUUUCCAUCGUGCUGGAAAUGUCUCCACCGUGCCGAUUUGGUCCCUGGCUCUGCUCUCAGCAAAACGCAACGGGAGCAAGAGCAGCCACCCCAGGCAGACUUGUCUUAGUCCUGAGGAAGCCUCAAACCCUGUUGCCCCACCUCACAGCACCCUCCCCCACGUCCUUGUUCAUCUGAAUAAAUUUGGGUAUGUACAUCUUUUCAUGGGGAAAAAUAAAAUAUGAGGCUUAAAAGAGGUUCAGAACAUCUUUUUUUUUUUUUUUCUAACAGUGAGGUCCAUGCUGGCCACAGGCUUGAAACGAGCUGGGAUCUACCUUUCUGAACUGAAAUCGUGAGGAUUACUCACACGUUGAAAAAUACGCCUGUGUUGAAAUUCCCUUGUUGGAUUAAGACCUAAACCCUGCAAUUGUCACUUUUCCCACCAGAGGAAAGUGCCAGUGGCUUAACUAAAUAUACUGUCCUCAUCAUGGCCUGCCAUUUCCAGUUUGUUUCUCUUUCCCCUUUUACUGGAACUCCUCCACGUUUCUGUAAGUUUAUUUUAUUUUUCGGUUGGUUUACUUUUUUUUCACCAAUUUAUCACCUUUCCUGCUAUGUCCCUUUCCCUGAGCCAUAUGUGAUCUCUCAUCCUGUCAUUCCCAUUUCUUUCUCUGCCUGUUUGCCACCUAUUGCAUCAAACUUGGGAGAAACUACCCAAACUACAAAUAGUGGACAAAAUAAAGCCAAAUUCGCUCUGGA